This 464-nucleotide ribosomal RNA is filed under the name uncultured bacterium. RNAcentral describes it as "bacterial SSU rRNA". It matches the Rfam family "Bacterial small subunit ribosomal RNA", at positions 33 to 507 of the family's 1533-position model. The record is from RNAcentral.
CGGAGACGCUGGCGGCGUGCCUAACACAUGCAAGUCGAGCGAGUGAAUCUCCUUCGGGAGUGAAGCUAGCGGCGGACGGGUGAGUAACACGUGGGCAACCUGCCUCAUAGAGGGGAAUAGCCUUUCGAAAGGAAGAUUAAUACCGCAUAAGAUUGUAGCUUCGCAUGAAGUAGCAAUUAAAGGAGCAAUCCGCUAUGAGAUGGGCCCGCGGCGCAUUAGCUAGUUGGUGAGGUAACGGCUCACCAAGGCGACGAUGCGUAGCCGACCUGAGAGGGUGAUCGGCCACAUUGGGACUGAGACACGGCCCAGACUCCUACGGGAGGCAGCAGUGGGGAAUAUUGCACAAUGGGGGAAACCCUGAUGCAGCAACGCCGCGUGAGUGAUGACGGCCUUCGGGUUGUAAAGCUCUGUCUUCAGGGACGAUAAUGACGGUACCUGAGGAGGAAGCCACGGCUAACUACGUG